Molecule: ribosomal RNA, 393 nt
Filed under: uncultured bacterium
Lineage: Bacteria
Description: partial 16S ribosomal RNA
Rfam family: Bacterial small subunit ribosomal RNA
Source: RNAcentral
AUACGGAGGAUGCAAGCGUUAUCCGGAUUUAUUGGGUUUAAAGGGUGCGUAGGCGGUUUGCUAAGCGGGAGGUGAAAUGCCGGCGCUCAACGUCGGAAGUGCCUCCCGAACUGGUGGACUUGAAUGACUCUGCCGUGGGAGGAAUGUGUAGUGUAGCGGUGAAAUGCUUAGAGAUUACACAGAACACCGAUUGCGAAGGCAUCUCACGAAGGGUUGAUUGACGCUGAGGCACGAAAGCGUGGGGAUCAAACAGGAUUAGAUACCCUGUUAGUCCACGCAGUAAACGAUGAUGGCUAACCGCUGGAUCCAUCGGUUCAGUGGCCAAGCGAAAGCGAUAAGCCAUCCACCUGGGGAGUACGACCGCAAGGUUGAAACUUAAAGGAAUUGACGGGG